AUUGAACGCUGGCGGCAUGCUUUACACAUGCAAGUCGAACGGUAACAGGCCUUCGGGUGCUGACGAGUGGCGAACGGGUGAGUAAUGCAUCGGAACGUGCCCAGAGGUGGGGGAUAACGCAGCGAAAGCUGUGCUAAUACCGCAUGUGAUCUGAGGAUGAAAGCGGGGGACCAAGCAGCAAUGUUUGGCCUCGCGCCUCUGGAGCGGCCGAUGUCAGAUUAGGUAGUUGGUGGGGUAAAGGCCUACCAAGCCGACGAUCUGUAGCUGGUCUGAGAGGACGACCAGCCACACUGGGACUGAGACACGGCCCAGACUCCUACGGGAGGCAGCAGUGGGGAAUUUUGGACAAUGGGCGCAAGCCUGAUCCGGCAAUGCCGCGUGCGGGAAGAAGGCCUUCGGGUUGUAAACCGCUUUUGUACGGAACGAAAAGGCUCUGGCUAAUACCUGGGGCUGAUGACGGUACCGUAAGAAUAAGCACCGGCUAACUACGUG
RNAcentral lists this ribosomal RNA (492 nucleotides) under uncultured bacterium. RNAcentral describes it as "partial 16S ribosomal RNA". It matches the Rfam family "Bacterial small subunit ribosomal RNA", at positions 30 to 507 of the family's 1533-position model. The record is from RNAcentral.